This 497-nucleotide ribosomal RNA is filed under the name uncultured bacterium. RNAcentral's name for it is "partial 16S ribosomal RNA". It matches the Rfam family "Bacterial small subunit ribosomal RNA", at positions 28 to 507 of the family's 1533-position model. The record is from RNAcentral.
GAUGAACGCUGGCGGCGUGCCUAAUACAUGCAAGUCGAGCGACCAGACGAGGAGAUUUCUCCUCUGCCGUUAGCGGCGGGCGGAUGGGUGACAAGUGGAUAAGCUACCUAUUUUUCUGGGGUAACUUCGGGAGGAAGGAGAUACUAACAGCUCAUAUGUUGUACCGGUUGGUUCAAUAGUGCAAGACAGUUUUGCUGUCACUUAUAGAUGGUUUCGGGUCGCAUUAGCUAGUUGGUAAGGUAACGGCCCACCAAGGCAACGAUGCGUAGCCGAUCUGAGAGGAUGAUCAGCCACACUGGAACUGAGACACGGUCCAGACUCCUACGGGAGGCAGCAGUGGGGAAUAUUGGACAAUGGGCGCAAGCCUGAUCCAGCAAUACCGCGUGGGUGAAGAAGGCCUUCGGGUUGUAAAGCCCUUUUGUUAGGAAAGAAAAGCAGCAGGUUAAUACACCGCUGUUCUGACGGUACCCAAAGAAUAAGCACCGGCUAACUUCGUG